GGACACUCCUACUUACACGCAUAGAGAGAGAGAGAGUCGGGGUGAUUGAGCUUCAUCUACGUCGAAAUCGUUUCAGAGUUGAGAGUUCGGGCAUGAAAACAACAACAGAUCUCAAAUAGUUCACAGAAAUAUGGUUCCAUUCCGAUCGCCAAGAGAAACUUUAUGGCGCUCCGAACUCAGUGAUCCCAAUUUUCAACCAUCUGAUCCCAUCCAAUUACUUAUAAUCCCACCAGAUCUCUUCACACGCUCAACACUGGU
Molecule: long non-coding RNA, 258 nt
Filed under: Actinidia chinensis (golden kiwifruit)
Lineage: Eukaryota; Viridiplantae; Streptophyta; Magnoliopsida; Ericales; Actinidiaceae
Description: long non-coding RNA (ACHI_LNC003700)
Source: RNAcentral